GAUGAACGCUGGCGGCGUGCUUAACACAUGCAAGUCGAGCGAGCAGAUUUGAAAAGUUUCUUCGUAUGAAAUUCAAAAUGGAAAUCGGCGGACGGGUGAGUAACUCGUAGGCAACCUGCCCCAUACAAAGGGAUAGCAUUUGGAAACGGAUAUUAAUAUCUUAUGAAAUUUAACUAGUGUAUGCUAGGUAGGUCCAAGAUUUGUCGGUAUGAGAUGGGCCUGCGUCUGAUUAGCAAGUUGGAGAGGUAAAGGCGCACAAAGGGGAUGAUCAGUAGCCGUCCAACGGGGGUAAACGCCCAACUCGGAAGUGAGGCACGGUCCAAACUUCUACGGGAGUGGGCGGUAGGGAAUAGUAGACAAGCGGCGAAACCCUGAAGCGUCAACGCCGCGUGAACGUUUAAGACCUUUGAGUCAUAAAGUUCUAUGCUAGGUGACGAAAACUGACAGUAACCUAGGAGAAAGCCCCGGCUAACUCCGUG
This 479-nucleotide ribosomal RNA is filed under the name uncultured bacterium. Its description in RNAcentral is "partial 16S ribosomal RNA". It matches the Rfam family "Bacterial small subunit ribosomal RNA", at positions 28 to 507 of the family's 1533-position model. The record is from RNAcentral.